This 255-nucleotide ribosomal RNA is filed under the name uncultured bacterium. Its description in RNAcentral is "partial 16S ribosomal RNA". It matches the Rfam family "Bacterial small subunit ribosomal RNA", at positions 524 to 777 of the family's 1533-position model. The record is from RNAcentral.
GACGGAGGAUGCAAGCGUUAUCCGGAAUGAUUGGGCGUAAAGCGUCCGCAGGUGGCAGUUCAAGUCUGCUGUCAAAGACCGGGGCUUAACUUCGGAAAGGCAGUGGAAACUGAACAGCUAGAGUAUGGUAGGGGCAGAGGGAAUUCCUGGUGUAGCGGUGAAAUGCGUAGAGAUCAGGAGGAACACCAGUGGCGAAGGCGGCACCCUGGACCAGCACUGACACUGAGGCACGAAAGCCGUGGGGAGCAAACAGGA